This 429-nucleotide long non-coding RNA is filed under the name Homo sapiens (human). RNAcentral's name for it is "non-protein coding lnc-NDUFA10-1:1". Lineage: Eukaryota; Metazoa; Chordata; Mammalia; Primates; Hominidae. The record is from RNAcentral.
CAGGACACUGAUGCACCAGGCUGGGGUGGGGCCCUGGCUCUCAGGUCUGAGGGCACCGUGCCUAGGGCAGGGCCUGCAGUCUCUAGGGCGCCUUCUCAACAAGAAGAAAGCAGGGGCUGGGCAUGGUGGCUGACAGCUGUAAUCCCAGCACUUUGGGAGGCUGACACAGGCAGAUCGCUUGAGGUCAGGAGUUCGAGACCAGCCUGGCCAACAUGGCGAAACCCCAACUCUAAAAUCAGUGUACAUCUUACAUGUGUUAAUUGAUGUCUUAUGUCUCUGCGCUGAUUGUGAGAAGUGGCUCCGGCUCUGAUAACGGCGGUCCCAGAUGGUAAGAUGAGUUCCUUGCACGGGGGCGCAGACCGGGACUGGCUUGGGGAGCCCUCCGGAGUCCCAGUUGCUAUCACAGCAGAGGUGUCCCCAGGGGCUUUU